RNAcentral lists this signal recognition particle RNA (265 nucleotides) under Chloroflexota bacterium. Its description in RNAcentral is "Chloroflexi bacterium (oil production facility metagenome) signal recognition particle sRNA large type". It matches the Rfam family "Bacterial large signal recognition particle RNA". From Rfam's summary of the family: The signal recognition particle (SRP) is a universally conserved ribonucleoprotein involved in the co-translational targeting of proteins to membranes. Archaeal SRP consists of a 7S RNA and homologues of the eukaryotic SRP19 and SRP54 proteins. Lineage: Bacteria; Bacillati; Chloroflexota. The record is from RNAcentral.
UCGUGCUAGACGGGGAGCUAGCGGUGCCCUGUACCCGCAAUCCGCUAUAGCGGGGUCGAAUUCCCUCUCGAGGGUCGUGAUUUGCUGGGACUGUUCGGGUCAAGUGGCGAUGAAAACUGGGUCCUGCGCGGCGGAGACCCACAAACCCCGUCAGGUCCGGGAGGAAGCAGCGGUAAGUGGUCAUCUUCGGGUGCCGCAGGGGCGCCUGGUUGGAGCAGGCUGACCUGAGCAAGCCGGUGGGUCCGAAACGACAGGGGGUGCACGA